ACAGUGGUUUCUUUGGAAACCACUAUGAGUUAGCUAUGAAUGUAAU
Molecule: non-coding RNA, 46 nt
Organism: Sarcophilus harrisii (Tasmanian devil)
Lineage: Eukaryota; Metazoa; Chordata; Mammalia; Dasyuromorphia; Dasyuridae
Source: Rfam